This 528-nucleotide ribosomal RNA is filed under the name Triticum aestivum (bread wheat). RNAcentral describes it as "partial small subunit ribosomal RNA". The record is from RNAcentral. Lineage: Eukaryota; Viridiplantae; Streptophyta; Magnoliopsida; Poales; Poaceae.
AUGCAACAAGCUCUAGACCUGUACCAUAGCCGCAAUGGACACCAGUUCAUGUAUGUACAUUGGCGGGAAGCUGUGAAGGAAAGCCAAAAGUGGAAGAUUCAUGUAUACACAGAAGGAGAUGGAACAAAGAGGUCACCACCAGUCCCAACUGAGAAUGCUCAGCGUCCCCCGGGUGUCAAGAGGGCGAAGAAAGCUAUAGGAAAAGAUAAGGAAGCCCCUACUGAGAUGAAUAACAUGCAAGAACAGAUUGGGGCUUUUCUAAAAGCACAAGCUGACACUAAGGCACAAACUGAUGAGAUGAUGGAAUUGCAGAGUCGUCUAUCUGCUCAGAAGGUAGAAGCUAACCGACUUGCAUAUGAGGCAGCAAAGGAGAGGACAGUGGCAAAGUUAGCUGAGGAAAGAACCAAGCGGUUUGACAAGUUCACAGAGAUGUUGAAUACCGACACUACAAGGAUGGAGCCAUGGGCAAAGGAGAUGCAUGUGAGGGCUGUCACAAGACUAGGGGAUCAACUUUUCAAGGAUGAAUAG